UGGGGAAUAUUGGACAAUGGGCGAAAGCCUGAUCCAGCGACGCCGCGUGAAGGAAGACGGUCUUCGGAUUGUAAACUUUAGUGAGCAGGGACGAUAGUGACGGUACCUGCAUAGCAAGCCACGGCUAACUACGUGCCAGCAGCCGCGGUAAUACGUAGGUGGCAAGCGUUAUCCGGAAUUACUGGGUGUAAAGGGUGAGUAGGCGGGAAGGCAAGUCAGGUGUGAAAUGCAGGGGCUCAACCCCUGAGCUGCACUUGAAACUGCUUUUCUUGAGAGUCGGAGGGGUAAUCGGAAUUCCCAGUGUAGCGGUGAAAUGCGCAGAGAUUGGGAGGAACACCAGUGGCGAAGGCGGAUUACUGGACGACAACUGACGCUGAGACACGAAAGCGUGGGGAGCAAACAGG
RNAcentral lists this ribosomal RNA (404 nucleotides) under uncultured prokaryote. RNAcentral describes it as "bacterial SSU rRNA". It matches the Rfam family "Bacterial small subunit ribosomal RNA", at positions 355 to 776 of the family's 1533-position model. RNAcentral also lists the same sequence under 1 other name. The record is from RNAcentral.